CCUACGGGUGGCAGCAGUAGGGAAUAUUGCUCAAUGGGGGAAACCCUGAAGCAGCAACGCCGCGUGGAGGAUGAAGGUUUUCGGAUUGUAAACUCCUUUUGUUAGAGAAGAUAAUGACGGUAUCUAACGAAUAAGCACCGGCUAACUCCGAGCCAGCAGCCGCGGUAAUCCGGCGGGUGCAAGCGUUACUCGGAAUCACUGGGCGUAAAGAGCGCGUAGGGGGGAUGGCAAGUCAGAUGUGAAAUCCUAUGGCUUAACCAUAGAACUGCAUUUGAAACUGUUAUUCUAGAGUAGGGGAGAGGUAGGUGGAAUUCUUGGUGUAGGGGUAAAAUCCGUAGAGAUCAAGAGGAAUACUCAGUGCGAAGGCGACCUGCUAGAACAUAACUGACGCGGAUGCGCGAAAGCGUGGGGAGCAAACAGGAUUAGAUACCCUGGUAGUC
Molecule: ribosomal RNA, 440 nt
Filed under: uncultured bacterium
Lineage: Bacteria
Description: partial 16S ribosomal RNA
Rfam family: Bacterial small subunit ribosomal RNA
Source: RNAcentral